Molecule: ribosomal RNA, 497 nt
Filed under: uncultured bacterium
Lineage: Bacteria
Description: partial 16S ribosomal RNA
Rfam family: Bacterial small subunit ribosomal RNA
Source: RNAcentral
GAUGAACGCUGGCGGCGUGCCUAAUACAUGCAAGUCGAGCGAACAGACGAGGAGCUUGCUCCUCUGACGUUAGCGGCGGACGGGUGAGUAACACGUGGAUACCCUACCUAUAAGACUGGGAUAACUUCGGGAAACCGGAGCUAAUACCGGAUAAUAUAUUGAACCGCAUGGUUCAUUAGUGAAAGACGGUUUUGCUGUCUCUUAUAGAUGCAUCCGCGCCGCGUUAGCUAGUUGGGAAGGUAACGGGUUACCAAGGCAACGAUGCGUAGCCGACGUGAGAGGGUGAUCGGCCACAUGGGAACUGGACCACGGUCCAGGCUCCUGCGGGAGGCAGCAGUAGGGAAUCUGCCGCAAUGGGCGAAAGCCUGACGGAGCAACGCCGCGUGAGUGAUGAAGGUCUUCGGAGCGUAAAACUCUGUUAUGAGGGAAGAACAAAUGUGUAAGUAACUAUGCACGGCUUGACGGUACCUAAUCAGAAAGCCACGGCUAACUACGUG